CCCUACGGGGUGCAGCAGUAUCAGCGGCGGAGCUGUCGGCAGGCAUUGCAGACAUUAUUUCAGUAAGGUCGAUAAGAUUCGACUGGAGCGACAGGUUUCCCUUUAUUAUGUCACCUCUGAACAAGUAUGGGAUAAAGUUUUCGAGACGGCCGGCAACUGUGAAAUCGCUGCUUUUCCCAAUAUUGAUUUUCCUUUCCUUCAUAAGGGCAUAGGUAGGAGAUAUCUCAAAUCCAGCCCUCCCGAUCUUUAUCCCCGGGUAUCCGGUCAUAGCCAGAGACAUGUUGCUGAUGUUCAUACUGCCAAGUGCACUGAACCUGUCAUACUGCUUAUUAUCAAGCAUCGACAUUUUUCCUGCCAUCUUUACGGCUAUAUCAACAAGUCCUGACAUAGAAAUACUAUCUAUCGGGAGAGC
This 412-nucleotide ribosomal RNA is filed under the name uncultured prokaryote. RNAcentral describes it as "partial 16S ribosomal RNA". The record is from RNAcentral.